CUUUUACAAUGAAGAGUUUGAUCCUGGCUCAGGAUGAACGCUAGCUACAGGCUUAACACAUGCAAGUCGAGGGGCAGCAUUUUAGUUUGCUUGCAAACUGAAGAUGGCGACCGGCGCACGGGUGAGUAACACGUAUCCAACCUGCCGAUAACUCCGGAAUAGCCUUUCGAAAGAAAGAUUAAUACCGGAUAGCAUACGAAUAUCGCAUGAUAUUUUUAUUAAAGAAUUUCGGUUAUCGAUGGGGAUGCGUUCCAUUAGUUUGUUGGCGGGGUAACGGCCCACCAAGACUACGAUGGAUAGGGGUUCUGAGAGGAAGGUCCCCCACAUUGGAACUGAGACACGGUCCAAACUCCUACGGGAGGCAGCAGUGAGGAAUAUUGGUCAAUGGGCGAGAGCCUGAACCAGCCAAGUAGCGUGAAGGAUGAAGGCUCUAUGGGUCGUAAACUUCUUUUAUAUGGGAAUAAAGUUUUCCACGUGUGGAAUUUUGUAUGUACCAUAUGAAUAAGGAUCGGCUAACUCCGUGCCAGCAGCCGCGGUAAUACGGAGGAUCCGAGCGUUAUCCGGAUUUAUUGGGUUUAAAGGGAGCGUAGGUGGAUUGUUAAGUCAGUUGUGAAAGUUUGCGGCUCAACCGUAAAAUUGCAGUUGAAACUGGCAGUCUUGAGUACAGUAGAGGUGGGCGGAAUUCGUGGUGUAGCGGUGAAAUGCUUAGAUAUCACGAAGAACUCCGAUUGCGAAGGCAGCUCACUAGACUGUCACUGACACUGAUGCUCGAAAGUGUGGGUAUCAAACAGGAUUAGAUACCCUGGUAGUCCACACAGUAAACGAUGAAUACUCGCUGUUUGCGAUAUACAGUAAGCGGCCAAGCGAAAGCAUUAAGUAUUCCACCUGGGGAGUACGCCGGCAACGGUGAAACUCAAAGGAAUUGACGGGGGCCCGCACAAGCGGAGGAACAUGUGGUUUAAUUCGAUGAUACGCGAGGAACCUUACCCGGGCUUAAAUUGCAACAGAAUAUAUUGGAAACAGUAUAGCCGUAAGGCUGUUGUGAAGGUGCUGCAUGGUUGUCGUCAGCUCGUGCCGUGAGGUGUCGGCUUAAGUGCCAUAACGAGCGCAACCCUUAUCUUUAGUUACUAACAGGUUAUGCUGAGGACUCUAGAGAGACUGCCGUCGUAAGAUGUGAGGAAGGUGGGGAUGACGUCAAAUCAGCACGGCCCUUACGUCCGGGGCUACACACGUGUUACAAUGGGGGGUACAGAAGGCGGCUACACGGUGACGUGAUGCUAAUCCCAAAAACCUCUCUCAGUUCGGAUCGAAGUCUGCAACCCGACUUCGUGAAGCUGGAUUCGCUAGUAAUCGCGCAUCAGCCAUGGCGCGGUGAAUACGUUCCCGGGCCUUGUACACACCGCCCGUCAAGCCAUGAAAGCCGGGGGUACCUGAAGUACGUAACCGCAAGGAGCGUCCUAGGGUAAAACUGGUAAUUGGGGCUAAGUCGUAACAAGGUAGCCGUACCGGAAGGUGCGGCUGGAACACCUCCUUUCU
This 1536-nucleotide ribosomal RNA is filed under the name Bacteroides ovatus. Its description in RNAcentral is "bacterial SSU rRNA". It matches the Rfam family "Bacterial small subunit ribosomal RNA". Lineage: Bacteria; Pseudomonadati; Bacteroidota; Bacteroidia; Bacteroidales; Bacteroidaceae. The record is from RNAcentral.